Molecule: transfer RNA, 80 nt
Filed under: Frankia nepalensis
Lineage: Bacteria; Bacillati; Actinomycetota; Actinomycetes; Frankiales; Frankiaceae
Rfam family: tRNA
About the family: Transfer RNA (tRNA) molecules are approximately 80 nucleotides in length. Their secondary structure includes four short double-helical elements and three loops (D, anti-codon, and T loops).
Source: Rfam by way of RNAcentral
GCUGGCGCUGGGCAUUGGUGAGCCCCGCGGCCUGUAAAGCCGUCGCCUCGGCUGUGGGGGUUCGAAUCCCUCCGCCAGCA